CACACGACUCUCAGCAACGGAUAUCUCGGCUCUCGCAUCGAUGAAGAAUGUAGAAAAAUGCGAUACCUGGUGUGAAUUGCAGAAUCCUGCGAACCAUCGAGUUUUUGAACGCAAGUUGCGCCCGAGGCCUUCUGGCUGAGGGCACGCCUGCCUGGGCGUCAUGA
RNAcentral lists this ribosomal RNA (164 nucleotides) under Hordeum comosum. RNAcentral describes it as "5.8S ribosomal RNA". It matches the Rfam family "5.8S ribosomal RNA". Rfam says of the family: 5.8S ribosomal RNA (5.8S rRNA) is a component of the large subunit of the eukaryotic ribosome. The record is from RNAcentral. Lineage: Eukaryota; Viridiplantae; Streptophyta; Magnoliopsida; Poales; Poaceae.